UACGGAGGGUGCAAGCGUUAAUCGGAAUUACUGGGCGUAAAGCGUGCGCAGGCGGUUUGUUAAGUCUGCUGUGAAAUCCCCGAGCUCAACUUGGGAAUUGCAGUGGAUACUGGCAAGCUGGAGUACGGUAGAGGAAGGUGGAAUUCCCGGUGUAGCAGUGAAAUGCGUAGAGAUCGGGAGGAACACCAGUGGCGAAGGCGGGUCUCUGGACAGUUCCUGACACUGAGGCACGAAGGCCAGGGGAGCAAACGGG
RNAcentral lists this ribosomal RNA (253 nucleotides) under uncultured bacterium. RNAcentral's name for it is "partial 16S ribosomal RNA". It matches the Rfam family "Bacterial small subunit ribosomal RNA", at positions 524 to 776 of the family's 1533-position model. The record is from RNAcentral.